Molecule: transfer RNA, 85 nt
Filed under: Verrucomicrobiota bacterium
Lineage: Bacteria; Pseudomonadati; Verrucomicrobiota
Description: Verrucomicrobia bacterium (anaerobic digester metagenome) tRNA-Leu
Rfam family: tRNA
About the family: Transfer RNA (tRNA) molecules are approximately 80 nucleotides in length. Their secondary structure includes four short double-helical elements and three loops (D, anti-codon, and T loops).
Source: RNAcentral
GGGCGCGUGGCGGAAUUGGCAGACGCGCAGGACUUAGGAUCCUGUGGAGCAAUCCGUGCAGGUUCGACCCCUGUCGCGCCCACCA